RNAcentral lists this ribosomal RNA (253 nucleotides) under uncultured bacterium. RNAcentral's name for it is "partial 16S ribosomal RNA". It matches the Rfam family "Bacterial small subunit ribosomal RNA", at positions 524 to 776 of the family's 1533-position model. The record is from RNAcentral.
UACGUAGGGUGCAAGCGUUGUUCGGAAUUAUUGGGCGUAAAGAGCUCGUAGGCGGUUCGUCGCGUCCGCUGUGAAAACCCGGAGCUCAACUCCGGGCCUGCAGUCGAUACGGGCGGACUCGAGUUCGGCAGGGGAGACUGGAAUUCCUGGUGUAGCGGUGAAAUGCGCAGAUAUCAGGAGGAACACCGGUGGCGAAGGCGGAUCUCUGGGCCUUACCUGACGCUCAGGUGCGAAAGCUAGGGGAGCGAACAGG